UAACUUCGGGAAACCGAGGCUAAUACCGCAUAAUACCCACGGGUCAAAGGAGCAAUUCGCUUGAGGAGGAGGUCGCGGCCGAUUAGUUAGUUGGCGGGGUAAUGGCCCCACCAAGACGGUGAUCGGUAUCCGGCCUGAGAGGGCGCACGGACACACUGGAACUGAAACACGGUCCAGACUCCUACGGGAGGCAGCAGUGGGGAAUUUUGCGCAAUGGGGGAAACCCUGACGCAGCAACGCCGCGUGGAGGAUGAAGUCUCUUGGGACGUAAACUCCUUUCGAUCGGGACGAUUAUGACGGUACCGGAAGAAGAAGCCCCGGCUAACUUCGUG
This 332-nucleotide ribosomal RNA is filed under the name uncultured bacterium. Its description in RNAcentral is "bacterial SSU rRNA". It matches the Rfam family "Bacterial small subunit ribosomal RNA", at positions 144 to 507 of the family's 1533-position model. The record is from RNAcentral.